This 334-nucleotide ribosomal RNA is filed under the name uncultured eukaryote. Its description in RNAcentral is "partial 18S ribosomal RNA". It matches the Rfam family "Eukaryotic small subunit ribosomal RNA", at positions 1470 to 1796 of the family's 1831-position model. The record is from RNAcentral.
CCCUUAGAUGUCCGGGGCCGCACGCGCGCUACACUGAAGGAAUCAGCGUGGCUUUCUCCCUGACCCGAAAGGGUUGGGAAACCCGUUGAAUCUCCUUCGUGAUAGGGAUUGGGGCUUGAAAUUGUUCCCCAUGAACGAGGAAUUCUCAGUAAGCGCGAGUCAUAAGCUCGCGUUGAUUACGUCCCUGCCCUUUGUACACACCGCCCGUCGCUACUACCGAUUGAACGGUUUAGUGAGGGCCUCGGAUUGGUCUCGGCCCGCUCUUUACCGGGCGGCGCCGUUGGUCGAGAAGACGCUCGAACUUGAUCGUUUAGAGGAAGUAAAAGUCGUAACA